This 305-nucleotide ribosomal RNA is filed under the name uncultured bacterium. Its description in RNAcentral is "bacterial SSU rRNA". It matches the Rfam family "Bacterial small subunit ribosomal RNA", at positions 333 to 657 of the family's 1533-position model. The record is from RNAcentral.
AACCUCCUACGGGGCGCAGCAGUGGGAAUAUUGCACAAUGGGGGGAACCCUGAUGCAGCAAUGCCGCGUGGGUGAAGAAGCACUCCGGUGCGUAAAGCCCUGUCAGCAGGGAAGAAAAUGACAGUACCUGGACAAGAAGCCCCGGCUAACUACGUGCCAGCAGCCGCGGUAAUACGUAGGGGGCAAGCGUUAUCCGGAUUUACUGGGUGUAAAGGGAGCGCAGGCGGCGUGGCAAGUCAGAUGUGAAAACCCGGGGCCCAACCCCGUCCGGCCGUUGAAACUGGGGGCCUUGAGUGGGCGAGAAG